Molecule: long non-coding RNA, 219 nt
Filed under: Taeniopygia guttata (zebra finch)
Lineage: Eukaryota; Metazoa; Chordata; Aves; Passeriformes; Estrildidae
Description: lncRNA (ENSTGUG00000023678.1)
Source: RNAcentral
UUGUACCCCACAGGAGGUGCCAUCUGAAGGAAUUUUGUUCUUCACUUGCAGGCCCCUGACAGCCAAGAAGAGCUGAGGAACAAACUGCAGUAAAGGAGAGUGAGGAGAGAAAAAAAGGACUGAGCCUUAAAAAGGAUUUCGAUGGACAUGUAAUUAGAGGUGAAUGGAGUCUUCAGAGAUGAUCCCCAGUGGGGUUUGUAAGCUGGUUCACCACAGACU